This 495-nucleotide ribosomal RNA is filed under the name uncultured bacterium. RNAcentral describes it as "partial 16S ribosomal RNA". It matches the Rfam family "Bacterial small subunit ribosomal RNA", at positions 28 to 507 of the family's 1533-position model. The record is from RNAcentral.
GACGAACGCUGGCGGCGUGCCUAAUACAUGCAAGUAGAACGCUGAAGGAGGAGCUUGCUUCUCUGGAUGAGUUGCGAACGGGUGAGUAACGCGUAGGUAACCUGCCUGGUAGCGGGGGAUAACUAUUGGAAACGAUAGCUAAUAUCGCAUAAGAGUAGAUGUUGCAUGACAUUUGCUUAAAAGGUGCAAUUGCAUCACUACCAGAUGGACCUGCGUUGUAUUAGCUAGUUGGUGAGGUAACGGCUCACCAAGGCAACGAUACAUAGCCGACCUGAGAGGGUGAUCGGCCACACUGGGACUGAGACACGGCCCAGACUCCUACGGGAGGCAGCAGUAGGGAAUCUUCGGCAAUGGACGGAAGUCUGACCGAGCAACGCCGCGUGAGUGAAGAAGGUUUUCGGAUCGUAAAGCUCUGUUGUAAGAGAAGAACGAGUGUGAGAGUGGAAAGUUCACACUGUGACGGUAUCUUACCAGAAAGGGACGGCUAACUACGUG